UACGGAGGGUGCAAGCGUUAUCCGGAUUCACUGGGUUUAAAGGGUGCGUAGGAGGGCAGGUAAGUCAGUGGUGAAAUCUCCAAGCUUAACUUGGAACUGCCGUUGAUACUAUCUGUCUUGAAUACCGUGGAGGUGAGCGGAAUAUGUCAUGUAGCGGUGAAAAUGCUUAGAUAUGACAUAGAACACCAAUUGCGAAGGCAGCUCGCUACACGAAUAUUGACUCUGAGGCACGAAAAGCGUGGGGGAUCAAAACAGGG
This 257-nucleotide ribosomal RNA is filed under the name uncultured bacterium. RNAcentral describes it as "partial 16S ribosomal RNA". It matches the Rfam family "Bacterial small subunit ribosomal RNA", at positions 524 to 777 of the family's 1533-position model. The record is from RNAcentral.